This is a non-coding RNA of Anas platyrhynchos (mallard), 2426 nucleotides long. Lineage: Eukaryota; Metazoa; Chordata; Aves; Anseriformes; Anatidae. The record is from RefSeq and is a predicted model, not a curated record.
CAGCCCUCCGCGGCAGCCCCGCCGGCUCCCCGGCCUCCCCCUCUUCCUGCGCUACACCCCCGGGGAGGAGCCUCCCGCCCCCGCCGCCGACACCGCGGCUCGGCCACACGGCCCCGCAGAUUUACUCAUUUUACCAUUUAUUUUAACAUGUCCCAAGAGUUACUGUUCAAACAACGCAGCUCCAAAUGUUCUCAACCUGCAGUGACACAGAAGCCAUGAUCGUGCUUUACCUCCCUGACGCCUUGUUCCUUGCAGUGUCACAGGGAACACAACCAUGCUCCCGUGAGAAUAAAAAGCUCAUCGCAGUUGGCCACCAAGCAUGAGUAAAUAGCACCCGAGCAGCUGGCGGGGAGCAGCCUGGUGGGAGUCUGGAGGCUGGCUGGGUUUCCCCCUUCUCUUCCUCGUAACGCGGUACUGGCACACCAAAUUGCAUAACUUUGUCAUUUUCUUCAAUUCCCUUUCAAGAAGUCAUUCUGAAUCAGACUACAGACGUGAGGUCUGCUCGCUUGGUGUUUCCCAAAUGAAGAAGCAUGAAAACGUUUAACUCCAGACAGCACAUUUCCUAGAUUAAAACGUGGAGAGGACAAAGUCCUAGCAUUAAGUGUUUAAGUCACUAGGGUGCAGGAAUCAAGCUUCACUUAGGAAGUCCAGCUGAAGACCUGAUUUUCAAAAGCAGGGCAGCCAGAGGGGCUUUUACAGUCCCAAUAACUGCAAUGUUGGACCAACAGCUGGGGGUACCUACCUUCAUCUUCUCCAUUUAUCUUCCAUUAAUUGUGUGAAGAUGAGAAGAAGCAGAGACAUUCCAAAGUUGCCUUGGCCAGUACCAGUGGUAUGGAGAUGUGAGAGAACAAACCCUCAAAGCCAAUAUUACUUUUCCAAACCAAGACUUCUUUUCUUUCACACAGCAUGCUAUGUCCUUAAAAAAUGGUUAAAAAAUGAACAUGUUUAUUUAUGAUGAGUACUAGAAUACUUUUUACAGCACUAGUUCUUCUUUGUCAAGGUAGUGAAGUAGAAAACUAAACAAAGCUGCCAUGCUGGAGACUGGGCAGGCACUGGGGGAGGGCUCUUCAUAUCACCCUGUGGGUGGUGGAGAAGAAAGUGAGAAAUUUGUUCAAUUGAAAAAAGCCAUCAAGAUAUGUUGGAAACACAAAUUCAGAAAAUUCUGUUGGAAGUGGAAGAAACUGUGAGCUUUUGGCCAGGGCUAGUGAUUCUAGUAACAUGGAUAUCAUCUAGAAAAUAUUUUUUGAGACUUUUUUGUGCUUGAUAAAAACACUGUGCUUUACAGAGUUGUCAUUAAAAUUCUCUCAUCCAUGAUAUCUACCUAGCUAAAUUAGUUUAGACUUAACUAAGUCUAGUAUUAGUUUAGACUUAAGUUUAGUCUUUAAGGACUAGCUGAUACGAAAAUACAAGGUGGUGAACGAGGCAAAUUACAGGUUUGUUUUGUGUAGAAGCCCUUUUCCUCUGCAAAAGCAAUUCCACUCAGAAAACCUGUUUGUUAAUGUAGUCAUAAAAAUGCUGGUUAUGUUUUUAGCAGGGUCACUAGUCAACUUCCAUGUCUCUGUUCAUGCCUAUUCAUCAGUGCAUACUGCCAUCACAACUGCUAAUUAUAAAGCCCGAGUCCUGUCCUUAAGCUGUUGAGAUCUGGGGGUUUAGCUUUGGAAGCUGUUGUUCAUUGCUCAGAGUUGGUCCAGACAACAGCUGUCGCACUUGGAGAGAACCGGGAGUAACAGGAGACAGCUCCCCUUCCACCAGAAAGGCACAUUACCGCCACUGAAAGCCCUAAUCUGAUGGGUUCAGGCGAACUCUGCACAAACAUAUGCACCCAAGAUGUCUCUGUGGCCUGUUUAUCUAGGGAUUGUAGAGUUUGUAAAAGAGCCCGUAUUUAUAAACCUGGCUUUCUGUUGAAAAAAAUCGCCCCAAAGCAUUCCUAAGUAUAGUGACUAUAAUUCUGCCUCAUUUUCAUUAGAUUACGUCAAUUAAGAAACCAGGCUUUGUCUGUCCUUUCAGAUUGUUUCUACUGUAUUUUUAAAAUGUUCAUAAAUCUCAUGUGCUUCUAUAAUUAACCUAUCUAAAGCAAAGAAACAACAACAACAUCAAAAAAAACAAAAAAAAAAAAAACAAAAAAAAAGCAGAUUUGCUGCUCUCCAGAGCUCUGUCUACAUUCAUCAGGCUGAGGGUCAUGUCUGUUGGUCUAUGUUUUACUGUAAUUUCACUCAGAGUCUUUAGUCCGACUGUAAUUAUAGUAUUAAAUUAAAUAAUUGUAAUGCCACUUUGCAGUACACAUUUUUCCUUAAAUGUACAUAGAUGUUUAUAAUCAUGUACAAUUAUUGAGAACAAAGUUGAAAGCUGUUGGAAAUAAUUGUCAUUUCAUUUACUAAUUUAAUUGCAUGUAUAUUUAAUAAAAGUAUGUGUUAUAUUGCCCUCUC